GAUGUAACGACGGCUGAUCUAGCUGAUUCCUGAUCGAGAAGGACGGUGGUGAUGGAUAUCUGCAGAAUGCCCCCUGGAGAGUUGGAUCCUGGCUCAGAUUGAACGCUGGCGGCAGGCCUAACACAUGCAAGUCGAACGGUAACAGGAAGCAGCUUGCUGCUUCGCUGACGAGUGGCGGACGGGUGAGUAAUGUCUGGGAAACUGCCUGAUGGAGGGGGAUAACUACUGGAAACGGUAGCUAAUACCGCAUAAUGUCGCAAGACCAAAGAGGGGGACCUUCGGGCCUCUUGCCAUCGGAUGUGCCCAGAUGGGAUUAGCUAGUAGGUGGGGUAGCGGCUCACCUAGGCGACGAUCCCUAGCUGGUCUGAGAGGAUGACCAGCCACACUGGAACUGAGACACGGUCCAGACUCCUACGGGAGGCAGCAGUGGGGAAUAUUGCACAAUGGGCGCAAGCCUGAUGCAGCCAUGCCGCGUGUAUGAAGAAGGCCUUCGGGUUGUAAAGUACUUUCAGCGGGGAGGAAGGCGACAAGGUUAAUAACCUUGUCGAUUGACGUUACCCGCAGAAGAAGCACCGGCUAACUCCGUGCCAGCAGCCGCGGUAAUACGGAGGGUGCAAGCGUUAAUCGGAAUUACUGGGCGUAAAGCGCACGCAGGCGGUCUGUCAAGUCGGAUGUGAAAUCCCCGGGCUCAACCUGGGAACUGCAUUCGAAACUGGCAGGCUAGAGUCUUGUAGAGGGGGGUAGAAUUCCAGGUGUAGCGGUGAAAUGCGUAGAGAUCUGGAGGAAUACCGGUGGCGAAGGCGGCCCCCUGGACAAAGACUGACGCUCAGGUGCGAAAGCGUGGGGAGCAAACAGGAUUAGAUACCCUG
This 869-nucleotide ribosomal RNA is filed under the name uncultured bacterium. RNAcentral's name for it is "partial 16S ribosomal RNA". It matches the Rfam family "Bacterial small subunit ribosomal RNA", at positions 1 to 789 of the family's 1533-position model. The record is from RNAcentral.